GUGAAUCAUCGAGUCUUUGAACGCAUAUGGCGCCCGCGGCUCCGGCCAAGGGCAUGCCUGCCUCAGCGUCGUCUCACCCCCAUCCUCGACCCAUUCUUUUCCGAAGGAAUGGCUGUCUUGGGAGCUGGCUUUUCCUACGGCCCAAAGCCCAAGGAUCGGCUGAAGAGCAAGCGGCCCGGCGUCCCAGUCGGCACCAGUGGUGGUGGCUCCAUGCCUCCCCUUUGGACCGAACCUGGGGCAGUCACAGGCCCUCCGUCUGUUUGCACAGAUUGGAAAGUACCAACCCAAAGAAUCGACCUGAGUUCAGGCAAGAACACCCGCUGAACUUAA
RNAcentral lists this ribosomal RNA (330 nucleotides) under uncultured fungus. Its description in RNAcentral is "eukaryotic LSU rRNA". The stretch from base 1 to 71 matches the Rfam family "5.8S ribosomal RNA", at positions 84 to 154 of the family's 154-position model. Lineage: Eukaryota; Fungi. The record is from RNAcentral.